Molecule: ribosomal RNA, 253 nt
Filed under: uncultured bacterium
Lineage: Bacteria
Description: partial 16S ribosomal RNA
Rfam family: Bacterial small subunit ribosomal RNA
Source: RNAcentral
UACGUAGGGUGCAAGCGUUGUCCGGAAUUAUUGGGCGUAAAGAGCUUGUAGGCGGUUUGUCGCGUCUGCUGUGAAAUUUCGGGGCUCAACCCCGAACUUGCAGUGGGUACGGGCAGACUAGAGUGUGGUAGGGGAGACUGGAAUUCCUGGUGUAGCGGUGAAAUGCGCAGAUAUCGUGAGGAAGACCAGUUGCGAAGGCGGAUCUCUGGGCAGUUCCUGACACUGAGGCACGAAGGCCAGGGGAGCAAACGGG